RNAcentral lists this ribosomal RNA (1368 nucleotides) under unidentified marine bacterioplankton. RNAcentral describes it as "bacterial SSU rRNA". It matches the Rfam family "Bacterial small subunit ribosomal RNA", at positions 9 to 1371 of the family's 1533-position model. The record is from RNAcentral.
GAGUUUGAUCAUGGCUCAGAUUGAACGCUGGCGGCAUGCCUUACACAUGCAAGUCGAACGGCAGCAUGAUCUAGCUUGCUAGAUUGAUGGCGAGUGGCGAACGGGUGAGUAAUACAUCGGAACGUGCCCUGUAGUGGGGGAUAACUAGUCGAAAGAUUAGCUAAUACCGCAUACGACCUGAGGGUGAAAGUGGGGGACCGCAAGGCCUCAUGCUAUAGGAGCGGCCGAUGUCUGAUUAGCUAGUUGGUGAGGUAAAGGCUCACCAAGGCGACGAUCAGUAGCUGGUCUGAGAGGACGAUCAGCCACACUGGGACUGAGACACGGCCCAGACUCCUACGGGAGGCAGCAGUGGGGAAUUUUGGACAAUGGGGGCAACCCUGAUCCAGCAAUGCCGCGUGUGUGAAGAAGGCCUUCGGGUUGUAAAGCACUUUUGUCCGGAAAGAAAUCGCACUUACUAAUAUUAGGUGUGGAUGACGGUACCGGAAGAAUAAGGACCGGCUAACUACGUGCCAGCAGCCGCGGUAAUACGUAGGGUCCAAGCGUUAAUCGGAAUUACUGGGCGUAAAGCGUGCGCAGGCGGUUGUGCAAGACCGAUGUGAAAUCCCCGGGCUUAACCUGGGAAUUGCAUUGGUGACUGCACGGCUAGAGUGUGUCAGAGGGGGGUAGAAUUCCACGUGUAGCAGUGAAAUGCGUAGAGAUGUGGAGGAAUACCGAUGGCGAAGGCAGCCCCCUGGGAUAACACUGACGCUCAUGCACGAAAGCGUGGGGAGCAAACAGGAUUAGAUACCCUGGUAGUCCACGCCCUAAACGAUGUCAACUAGUUGUUGGGGAUUCAUUUCCUUAGUAACGUAGCUAACGCGUGAAGUUGACCGCCUGGGGAGUACGGUCGCAAGAUUAAAACUCAAAGGAAUUGACGGGGACCCGCACAAGCGGUGGAUGAUGUGGAUUAAUUCGAUGCAACGCGAAAAACCUUACCUACCCUUGACAUGCCACUAACGAAGCAGAGAUGCAUUAGGUGCUCGAAAGAGAAAGUGGACACAGGUGCUGCAUGGCUGUCGUCAGCUCGUGUCGUGAGAUGUUGGGUUAAGUCCCGCAACGAGCGCAACCCUUGUCUCUAGUUGCUACGAAAGGGCACUCUAGAGAGACUGCCGGUGACAAACCGGAGGAAGGUGGGGAUGACGUCAAGUCCUCAUGGCCCUUAUGGGUAGGGCUUCACACGUCAUACAAUGGUGCAUACAGAGGGUUGCCAAGCCGCGAGGUGGAGCUAAUCCCAGAAAAUGCAUCGUAGUCCGGAUCGUAGUCUGCAACUCGACUACGUGAAGCUGGAAUCGCUAGUAAUCGCGGAUCAGCAUGCCGCGGUGAAUACGU